Long non-coding RNA from Falco peregrinus (peregrine falcon), 6253 nucleotides. RefSeq lists it as uncharacterized. The transcript has 2 exons. The record is from RefSeq and is a predicted model, not a curated record. NCBI's taxonomy places the organism in Eukaryota, Metazoa, Chordata, Aves, Falconiformes, Falconidae.
GUGACUCUGUAGCAAGCUGUUUGUUAUAUAUAACCUUUCACCUCUUUCAAAAUCUGAUUGUUCUGAUGAAACAAAAAAAAGCCAAGUACUCAAAAAAAAAGUAGAUGCGUGUACAGAUACGCACUUCACAGAACAGUUUCUUUUAAUUAUUUGCAGUCUUCAUUAUCAUAAUUUCAGUGUUUCCAUAGCAUUUAAAAAUAGAAAUUAAAACAAGUCUCCCUUGUCUCUUGCGUCCCUUCCCAGCCCAUAGGAUAAAUAGCCUGAGUCAUCUAUAGGGUGUGUGCAUGGCUGGGGGAGUGGCGCCUUUGUGAGAAAAGAAAUUGCUGAGAACAAGAAGAUGGAAAAACUGAGCAGGCAGCUGCCUGCGAUAAUUCAGAGUUGACUUUGCAGCUCACGUUCCUCUCAGGUACAACACGUACCAGCCCUUGGUGCAACAGCAGCAACUUCUGCAUCUUCACAGCAAAUCCUUACUGAUAUUCGCUCCAUAAAACAGCAGAACGUAGUAACAGCUGAAAAGGUUUACGUUUCUUCCCCCUUUUAAAAAAAAAUUAAAAAUAAAUGCAGAAUUCCCCCUCUUCUAGGAAAAGGAACCCUUUUCCCUAGCUCUGCCAUCUUUUGUUGAAGGUCUACACAUCUUCUGCAGCCUCAUUUCCUGCUUUGCUUCUCUUCGUGCUUGCAGGGGCUGUAGCUGAGACACAUUGGCCCAGCUAAGGCUGCCUGCGCUCCGAUUCUACAGCCUUGCAUGUUUGCUGGAGGAAGAAAAAUAGAAGCAAUGUACAUUAAAUCCUGGGAGACAAACUGUCCGAUCUCAUAGAGAAGGAUAGAAGGCUGAAUGGAGAGGGAGCAUUAGGAAGCUCGCACAGUGCAAAGUGGAUGCUUUUUCACAUACACCAUUGUGGACACAGACCUGCAAGCCUUUGAAAGAAGUCCUGACUCGCCCAUGCAAGUAACAUCAAUGGAGCAGGAGCUGUUACCUGCAGCAAAGAUGGCAUAGGAUUCUGGCACCUCCAGAAAUAACUUGGAUUUUUGGAACGAGCUGGAGCCAGGUCUUUGGUGUGUAAAGACUGCUGUGGAAAAAGAAGAGGGGUGGAGGAGACACAGGGCAGGGUUCCUCACCGGCAGAGCACAGGGAGAAGGCACAAGACACCAUGUGGAAGGAGAAAGCGAUAGACAGUUAUUGGUACAUCACAAGCCUGGCGAUGGGAAACGUGAACUUAAAGCAGUGGAAGGGGGGGGCGCCUCAGGAGGAUCAAAAGGCAGCAAGGGAGUAUUAUGAUCAUAUUGGCUGCUGAAAAAGUGCCUUGGCAGAGACGCGUUUGUCUUUGCGGAUUAGUAGGAACUGGAAAGGAGAAACAGCAUGAGGAGCAACGUGGUGCCGGUUCUGAAUCCUAACAAUGGGGGGAGGAGGAGGAAUCUUAGGGGGGAUUACAAGGCUGAGAUGAUCUAUAUUAGCGUUUUUAAAAAUGUGAAUCUUCCAAUUUCUUUUUCUUUGUAUUUUGCUGCAUUUAAUGGGGGGAGUUGUGCACUCCUCAGUGGUUUGUUUUUUUUUCCUUUUUUUUUUUUUUUUGUUUAUGAUGCUGAUUAGUAAGAGCAGCAUUAUUUCAGCUGAGUGAAAUAUCAUGUACCUUUAAGAAGCAGUGAACUUGAGUGCACUUACAGGGACAUGUGUAGUAAUUAAUCAAGGAAUGACACAGUUGGUCAGAUUUUUUUUUUUUUUUUUUUUUAAAUAUGGGAGUACGCUUCCAGGUCUCUACACUUUAGAAAGAAGUAAUAUGUAGAAAACGUAUUUAAUAAUAAAAAAAAUAAUUAUCUGUGAAGCUUUUCUGUGAAACUUCAUCAUGAUCUGUAAAUAUUCUAUGUAAUGAUUUAGAAGAGUUAAAGUUUUCCGGUAUUAAAACACCCCUAAAUUUCAAAAUGAUAGCAGGUUUUUUGGAAUGGUUUUAGAUAAGAAGAGAGGCUUCUUAACCUAGAUGAAAAUCUGCCAAACGUAAAAGGACACAUAGUAUUACUAAAAAUUGAAGCUUAAUUGUUAUUGCCAGCUACCCGUCCAUAAGCAUUCAUGUGGCUGAAAACCAGCAUUCCUUAGAAAGAAAGUAGGUGCAAGCCACUUGCAGGAGCCAGCAAAACCAGGAAGAUCCACAGAAUGACAAUGCACUAUUUUCCACCUCUAAUUGCAUCACAUAUUUCUGUGCAUAGAUCAGCAGUAAAAUGAAAUUUGGUAUCAAGGUCUGCCCAGGGUGCUUACACUUCUCGUUACGAGCCCCAGUAUGUGAUAAAACAAAGCUACCAGCGGCAAGGUAUUUGUGAAGUUGGACACCAACAAGUAGGGAUUAACAACCACAUCGGAAAUAAUGAACCUUGACAGAUCUAGGGUUAAAUACUUUAAAAUUAGAUCCUGCUGAAAGCUGAAUCUUGUCGCUUAGCAACAGCUGCAUGGGAUGCUGCUGUCACUCAGUGGAUGCUACUCCGGGGAGUUAACGUUAUUAUGCUCACAGAAAAUGGGUUAUGAUUGGGUCAAGGUGACAUCAUGCAGCAUGGCAGCAUCCAUUUUUUAAGGUAGCAUCCAACACGAUCGCACUCCAGUUAAUACCCAGAUUUAAGGAAAAAUCUUUUCUUUUGAAAUGGCUCAGCUCUGCCUACACCUUACCUGCCCUGUGGAUGGGCUCACGGAGUCUGCGCGGAACAGCAGGUCAUUUCAGCCAGCACCCCGUCAUCAAGCUCAACAGGUGGAUUUUUAAUCUUUUCCAAUUACUCGGAGCCAAAAGAAAAGCAAAAUGCUUGUAAUUUGUGGUGGUCUGACUGUGUAUUCAGAGCAUGGAAACCUCCGCCGGCAGUUCGGAAAACAUGCACAAAGCUUGUGAGAGAGAAUAAAAUGUACCUUUAUGAAAAUUUAGUUUGCUGAGCUAAUUUUAGCAUUUAAAACAACUGGGAACAUGCUGGAUCUUAGCAAGAAACCAAGAUACCUACUUAAUUAAAUAAAUAAAAAAAAAGCCUUUGAGGCACAAAAUCUAUUCUUAAAAGUGAUGCUGUGUCAAGGUUGAUGUAGGCACCUACAGAGAUUUUUUCGAACACCUGCCUGCCACCUGCAAAGCCCAUAAGCACAUCAGCACUUCUGAGGCUGGCCUGAUAGGGGUCAACCUGCAUUUCCAGGCAUGAAAAUACCUCGAGUGCUUAACUGCUGCCACCAGCGCCUUUGAAAUGGAUACAGAAAUUAGAUACUCAGCCCAAUCUCAUAUGCUGCCUCAAGUCAAGAUGCUAUGGAAACAAGAGAUUAUAGCAACCAGCAUAAAAGCCACACUCGGAUAGGCGUACCUGGUUUUGAGAGCUGGAUGUCCUUCUCUCAACACUGAAAGAGCACAGGCAAGUACUUGGUUGAAGGCAGUCAUUCCCAUGACUCAAAUGAAGCGUGACAGUGGCAAAUGUAGCAUCUCUUAUUAAGGCAUGAGGCAAAGACACCUUUGGUCUAUCCCCACUGUUUUAAGACAACAACAAAAAUCCCCAACCCUGUAGAUAACUGCAAAAUGAGCUGAACAGCUGAUAAAUCUUGUUCUUCUUCCUUUAUUUGGACAGGCUGUGCCAAAAAGGAGUUCCUGGUGAGCAGGAAGGUUACCAGGAGAGAUCACAAAGAGUCGGGAUCAGGACAGAUCUCAUUAAAUCAAGUUCCAGCUCACGAACUACCAACUUUUUCCACCAACUGGGGCCUCACUGCUUGGCAGUGAUGGAGGACAACAAAGGCAGGGACACAUCAGCUGACAGCGGGAUUAGCCGACUGUAUGUGACCGGGUGAAGGUCAUGACAAGCCUAGGACAUGCCAGGCAAGAGUGGUGCUGCAAAGUCAGGGAAAUAUUAAGGCCAGGUUACAAAAGGCACCAGCACCCUAGAAGAGUGUCUAUAGCUCUUUUCUCAUGAAUUCAAAAGUGGAGAGAAGUGGUUAAGAGGAAUGAAGAUCAUGUCCUCCCAACAGAAACUAAAUAAUCUUGGUUUGUUUAACAAGUCAAGAGCCUAAGGAGGGAAGUGAUUGCUUUUGUACUGAUGCAAUAGGAAAAUAAACACUCUGAUGUUUAACGAAGAGCUGUUUAAACUAACACUGGCAGAGGGUAGUUAAUAAUCUUAUGUUAGCUGUAAGAAGUUUAUAACUGUAAGAGCAGGUAGCUUUCAGGAGAGCCUUCCGGAAGAAAAGGGAGCACAAGAAACCCUAUUACAGCACUCUCCAGACUAUCAAGCUGAAACAAGGUCUUCUGCCAUCUCAUACCAGCACACUCUUCAUACAGUCCAAACUAACAAUGCUUACAGGUAACUGGAAACUCAAGAGCUGUGAAAGUAUAACCACAUUCUGUGAUAAAUUUAGACAGCCAUUUUUUCCAAAUACAUCUAAUCUAUUAGGUAUUUCCUCAACAAAUGUCCUUAAAAUACAGCUGGUAUAAGUGGGUAAUUGCUUCAGUUAAUGCUUUAUUUCUAGAGUUGUGGCUCCGUACAGAGGGUAAUUUCCAGCAAAGUCGUAACAGAGGAAAACACUCUUGGGAAAUUUAACAAUGAACUUAAGGCUCUCUUAGCAUAAUAUAGUGAAUAACAAUUAGAAAGAUAUCAUUAACAUAUGAUACAUAGCUGUGAUUUUGUCCAAACUAAUUAGAGCAGUUGUUCUCUUAUCAGUAUAUUAAGACGAACACUAAAUCAAAGAUGUUAAUAGCGCACAUAUAUUCUGUAAUUUGUGAUUUAAAUUUUAUUUCACACGGUGACGGAGACAAGUCUUUGUUAAAAGUCUUCCACAUCACUUCACUGCAAAAGGAAAUUGCAUUUCCAUCGGAUCCUACAGAGGAAGCUUCACUCAGUGAUACUAGUAGGUUAAAAAAAAAAAAAUCAAAAUAGAAUGUCUGCUUUUAAGAGAGAUAAGCAUCAUGUCACAUCUUGUUUCCUCCUCUAGUACUUCUGCCUCUUAGGCAUCGGGAGUGCGCAUGUGUGUGCGUGCACGGGAGGGGAAAGCUGGCCUGGGAGCCACAAGCCAAGGCAAGUGGAAAGUGGGAUGGGGACUGUUUCAUUCCUGCUAGUGAAGUUCCCACCUGUGUGCUUUCCGUAAGGCCCAACAGACACCAUAAAUCAUAUCUGAAGAAAGUAAACACUGAAACAACCACCAAACAAGACCCGUGCAGCUUUAUCCAGGGACACAUUUUUGUAAAUUACCUGUCCCGUAUCACGCCGUUGAUCUUCGAGUAUCAUACAAGCAACUUGGCCGCCACAAUAUGGAUACAGAACUGUAAAUAAUUACAGUUAAUGAAAUAAUUUCAUCAGAAAAAGAUUAAUUUCUGUUUAAACAAAUGCUUUUGCACAGGAGGGCAAAAGGUACACAGUAGUACUUCAGCAAUUUCCAAGAUGUCAAAACAUUCCCUGAGUUCCAGGUUAAAGGGUGAAAUCUUGCCUUUGUUAGAUGCCCUUCCAACAUUAUGGGCCAGCUAUGGGUGAACCUGACUGCAAGCAAAUCCUGCUGUGGGUUGGCAGGGUAUUUUACACGACCUCCACAUGCAUGCAGCCACCUUACCCAGCCUACGGUGAAUUACACAUUUGGCUUUUUACCCUAGUCCAGUCUCAUGGGAGAGCUUUAAAUGGGAAGGUGGAGCACUCAGAGCAUCACCUGAGACCAGAACCAGGGUCUGUAGAUAAAGAGAGAACACAGCGCUUUCUGUUUGCAAUGCUGUUUAUUUUAGAAAAGCCCCUUUGAUCAUCUGAAUGAAAAAUGUGGGCAGAAAAGUCACAAAUGUUAUAAAACAAAGUUUAUUCUGCAAUAUUUUGUCAUAAUGAAUUGCAUCUCUUUGGUAAAAAUAAAAUUUAUAAACAUUUUAAUUAACAGAGAUUAGCAUACAAAAAACUAAACUUCUGUAAAUAGUCUUUAAAACAGGUAAAGGACUAAACCGGAGGAAAACGGGUUAGAAUUGGUCACCUACUGGCAAAAUUAUUCUAAACAAACCCAAGGACAUUGCUUAUGCUACAUUAGAAACAAGCUAAUGGGAACGGUUUUAAAACAACUCUGGUUCAUUUGAUCAGAAAGCAUUCUUACAAUUCAUUUUUAAAUAAAUAAUAGUUACAAUGAAUUGGCAAUUAUAAAAUGUUUUAUAUCACUAUAUGGCAGUAACAUAAUACUUUUAAUUAUGCACUUUUUAGUUUGAAGAAAUGUACACUUAUAAAACAGACUUGAUAAUGGCACUGGCAGUUAGGUGUGAAGAAUGUGCUUUAAGAUAUAAUGGCAGGUGCAACAUUUAAA